Molecule: long non-coding RNA, 816 nt
Organism: Planococcus citri (citrus mealybug)
Lineage: Eukaryota; Metazoa; Arthropoda; Insecta; Hemiptera; Pseudococcidae
Exons: 3
Source: RefSeq, a predicted model, not a curated record
UCCAACAAUUCCAAAACCAAAUUCGCCUUUUCCAAAUAAAAAUGAAAAUAAAUACCACAGAAAUAGACGUUGCCAAAUUUACGAUGUUGAAAUCGACGUUGCCAAAUUUUUAUAUUUUUUUUAUCAGUGUUGCCAGGUCCGAAAAGCUGAAAAAGAAUCUGAGAGCAAAAUAUUAAUCGUCACAGAACUCAGACAGAUGAUAAAGUACAAUGGAAAUAGAAAAAUAAAACGAAACAUUUGUUUCAGUUCGCUCACUCUCCUUCUGAAGUUCUGAUAAUUCAAGCCUCAAGGACCAAACAGAGCAAAAUCGAAGGCCCGAAAAGCUAAGUAAGUUUCUGAGAAGUGACAGUGAAUUGAAUUGAAUGAAUUUAUUUACAGCGUUAUAGCUUUUUACCAGCAAUAUGCUUUUACAGAAUUAUCAAAAAGUGUUCUAGCGCUCAACUUGCAGUUUUAUAGUACCUAUGCUGUAAAACUGCAUUGCUGUAAAUUCUGGAAGUUGUAAGUUUCUGGAAGCGCUCGAACAUAUUCCUAAUCUCUUUUUUGUUUUUUUUUUUCAGCAGCUAUUCAGCAAGUGUAAUUAGUGUUGGGCAAAUUCGCGAAUAUUCUUUUUUUGCUUGCGCAUGCGCAAGAAUAUGCGCAUAUUCUUGCGCAUAUUCCGCAGAUUCUUUUCAAAAAAUUAGAAAAUUAUUGCCUAGUUUAGAGAUAAUAGGGAAAAGGUUUUGGUAACUUUCAAAUUAUUGAGGAAAAUUGGAAAUUUAUAAAGAAAAGUAGUUGUAAAACUUGUAAAUUGUGGAAAAUUGUAGAAAAAUCUUCAAA